RNAcentral lists this ribosomal RNA (450 nucleotides) under uncultured bacterium. RNAcentral describes it as "partial 16S ribosomal RNA". It matches the Rfam family "Bacterial small subunit ribosomal RNA", at positions 354 to 796 of the family's 1533-position model. The record is from RNAcentral.
GUGGGGAAUUUUGGACAAUGGGCGAAAGCCUGAUCCAGCAAUGCCGCGUGCAGGAUGAAGGCCCUCGGGUUGUAAACUGCUUUUGUACGGAACGAAAAGCCUGGGGCUAAUAUCCCCGGGUCAUGACGGUACCGUAAGAAUAAGCACCGGCUAACUACGUGCCAGCAGCCGCGGUAAUACGUAGGGUGCAAGCGUUAAUCGGAAUUACUGGGCGUAAAGCGUGCGCAGGCGGUUUUGUAAGACAGGGGUGAAAUCACCGGGCUCAACCUGGGAACUGCCAUUGUGACUGCAAGGCUAGAGUGCGGCAGAGGGGGAUGGAAUUCCGCGUGUAGCAGUGAAAUGCGUAGAUAUGCGGAGGAACACCGAUGGCGAAGGCAAUCCCCUGGGCCUGCACUGACGCUCAUGCACGAAAGCGUGGGGAGCAAACAGGAUUAGAAACCCCGGUAGUCC